This 506-nucleotide ribosomal RNA is filed under the name uncultured bacterium. RNAcentral's name for it is "partial 16S ribosomal RNA". It matches the Rfam family "Bacterial small subunit ribosomal RNA", at positions 30 to 523 of the family's 1533-position model. The record is from RNAcentral.
AUUGAACGCUGGCGGCAGGCCUAACACAUGCAAGUCGAACGGCAGCACAGAAGAGCUUGCUCUUUGGGCGGCGAGUGGCGAACGGGUGAGUAAAGUAUCGGAACGUGCCCAGUCGUGGGGGAUAACGUAGCGAAAGUUACGCUAAUACCGCAUACGAUCUAUGGAUGAAAGCGGGGGAUCGCAAGACCUCGCGCGAUUGGAGCGGCCGAUAUCAGAUUAGGUAGUUGGUGGGGUAAAGGCUCACCAAGCCGACGAUCUGUAGCUGGUCUGAGAGGACGACCAGCCACACUGGGACUGAGACACGGCCCAGACUCCUACGGGAGGCAGCAGUGGGGAAUUUUGGACAAUGGGCGAAAGCCUGAUCCAGCCAUGCCGCGUGCAGGAUGAAGGCCUUCGGGUUGUAAACUGCUUUUGUACGGAACGAAAAGGUUUGGCCUAAUAAGCUGAGCUCAUGACGGUACCGUAAGAAUAAGCACCGGCUAACUACGUGCCAGCAGCCGCCGUAA